Molecule: non-coding RNA, 115 nt
Organism: Cordylochernes scorpioides
Lineage: Eukaryota; Metazoa; Arthropoda; Arachnida; Pseudoscorpiones; Chernetidae
Source: the annotation of a GenBank genome assembly
AUUGUUGUGUCAUCCUGAAGUUUGUCUUCGUCGUCCGAUCACCGAAGUUAAGCAACGUCGGGCCCGGUCAGUACUUGGGAGGGUGACCACCUGGGAACACCGGGUGCUGUAGGCU